CCUACGGGUGGCAGCAGUGGGGAAUAUUGGACAAUGGGCGAAAGCCUGAUCCAGCCAUGCCGCGUGUGUGAAGAAGGCCUUCGGGUUGUAAAGCACUUUCAGUGGGGAAGAAAGCCUUGGGGCUAAUACCCUCGAGGAAGGACAUCACCCACAGAAGAAGCACCGGCUAACUCCGUGCCAGCAGCCGCGGUAAUACGGAGGGUGCGAGCGUUAAUCGGAAUUACUGGGCGUAAAGCGCGCGUAGGCGGUCUGAUAAGCCGGUUGUGAAAGCCCCGGGCUCAACCUGGGAACGGCAUCCGGAACUGUCAGGCUAGAGUGCAGGAGAGGAAAGUAGAAUUCCCGGUGUAGCGGUGAAAUGCGUAGAGAUCGGGAGGAAUACCAGUGGCGAAGGCGGCCUUCUGGACUGACACUGACGCUGAGGUGCGAAAGCGUGGGUAGCAAACAGGAUUAGAUCCCCCAGUAGUC
RNAcentral lists this ribosomal RNA (465 nucleotides) under Vreelandella stevensii. RNAcentral describes it as "partial 16S ribosomal RNA". It matches the Rfam family "Bacterial small subunit ribosomal RNA", at positions 338 to 795 of the family's 1533-position model. The record is from RNAcentral. Lineage: Bacteria; Pseudomonadati; Pseudomonadota; Gammaproteobacteria; Oceanospirillales; Halomonadaceae.